This 253-nucleotide ribosomal RNA is filed under the name uncultured bacterium. Its description in RNAcentral is "partial 16S ribosomal RNA". It matches the Rfam family "Bacterial small subunit ribosomal RNA", at positions 524 to 776 of the family's 1533-position model. The record is from RNAcentral.
UACGUAGGGUGCGAGCGUUGUCCGGAAUUAUUGGGCGUAAAGGGUAGGUAGGUGGUCUCAUUUGUCUGGGGUGAAAGCCUUGAGCUUAACUCAAGAAGUGCCCCGGAAACGGUGAGACUGGAGUCCUGGAGAGGGUCGUGGAAUUCCCGGUGUAGCGGUGAAAUGCGUAGAGAUCGGGAGGAACACCAGAGGCGAAGGCGGCGACCUGGACAGGCACUGACACUCAACUACGAAAGCGUGGGGAGCAAACAGG